RNAcentral lists this ribosomal RNA (952 nucleotides) under uncultured Neocallimastigales. Its description in RNAcentral is "partial large subunit ribosomal RNA". The stretch from base 152 to 952 matches the Rfam family "Eukaryotic large subunit ribosomal RNA", at positions 1 to 651 of the family's 3401-position model. Lineage: Eukaryota; Fungi; Neocallimastigomycota; Neocallimastigomycetes; Neocallimastigales. The record is from RNAcentral.
CGCAUCUGUGCAUGCAGCAUAUCAAUAAGCGGAGGAAAAGAGGGCUAUUACCUACGCUUAGGAUGUUGACACACGCGCGUGCUCGAUGAUAGUCUAUACAUGACUCCGUGCAUAUCAAUAAGCGGAGGAAAAGUACCUACGCUUAGGAUGUUGACACACGCGCGUGCUCGGCUCUAUACAUGACUCUGCGCAUAUCAAUAAGCGGAGGAAAAGAAACUAACAAGGAUUCCCUUAGUAACGGCGAGUGAAGCGGUAAGAGCUCAAAUUUGAAAUCUUCAAGGUUUUACCUUGACGAAUUGUAGUUUAAAGAAGUGUUUUUCUGUUGAAGUUUUGGUAAAAGUUCUUUGGAAUAGGACAUCAUAGAGGGUGAGAAUCCCGUAUUUGACCAUUAUUUUCAGCUGUGUGAUACACUUUCAAAGAGUCGGAUUGUUUGGGAAUGCAGUCCAAAAUGGGUGGUAAAUUUCAUCUAAAGCUAAAUAUUGGCGAGAGACCGAUAGCGAACAAGUACCGUGAGGGAAAGAUGGAAAAGAACUUUGAAAAGAGAGUUAAACAGUACGUGAAAUUGUCAAAAGGGAAGGCGUUUGACACCAGUGUUGUUUUCCUCGAAAAUCAAUUAAAAAGAGUUUAGAUUUUGUUGUGUAUUGACCUUAACAGCUUGCAUUUCAAUUUUCUUGCUUUUUUUAAUGCACUUUUCGUUUAACAAGUCAACAUCAGUUUCUUUUGUUGUAAAAAGGUCAUUGGAAGGUGGCUUUCUUUUCGGAGAAAGUGUUUAUAGCCUUUGACUCCUGCAAUCGGAGAGACUGAGGUCUGCAGCGUAGAUCCUUCGGGGUUAGAUACAUUUGUGCUAAGUUAUAGCUUUUUAUAGACAACUUGUUGACUAUGAUUAGUCUUGUAGCUUACUCGCUUAUGCUAUUUUACCUACGCUUAGGAUGUUGACACACGCGCGUGCUCG